GGGGGUAGUUUUUAGUACGUAUGCGCCAGGGAUGGCGAAUCGUGCAUGCUGCUACUAAGACCCACCAGUAUCUUUCGAAUAUUUUCUACCUCC
Molecule: non-coding RNA, 93 nt
Organism: Glossina palpalis gambiensis
Lineage: Eukaryota; Metazoa; Arthropoda; Insecta; Diptera; Glossinidae
Source: Rfam